GAGUUUGAUCCUGGCUCAGAACGAACGCUGGCGGCGUGCUUAACACAUGCAAGUCAGGGAGAAAGUCUCUUCGGGGAUGAUUAAACCGGCGCACGGGUGAGUAACACGUGAGUGACCUGCCUUUUAGACUGGAACAACUUACCGAAAGGUGAGCUAAUGCCGGAUGAGUUAUAUAAGUGCAUGUUUAUAUAGGAAAAGUUGGGGAGACCUGACGCUGAAAGAUGGACUCGCGUCCCAUUAGCUAGUUGGUAGGGUAAUGGCCUACCAAGGCGACGAUGGGUAGCCGGCCUGAGAGGGUGGCCGGCCACACUGGGACUGAGACACGGCCCAGACUCCUACGGGAGGCAGCAGUGGGGAAUUUUGCGCAAUGCUCGUAAGAGUGACGCAGCGACGCCGCGUGAAUGACGAAGGCCUUCGGGUCGUAAAGUUCUUUCGACAGGGAAGAAAAUGCCUAUAAGUAACUGUGUAUGUAUUGACGGUACCUGUAUAAGCAGCCCCGGCUAACUCCGUGCCAGCAGCCGCGGUAAUACGGAGGGGGCGAGCGUUGUUCGGAGUGACUGGGCGUAAAGAGCACGUAGGCGGUGUUGUAAGUCAUUAGUCAAAGACUAGAGCUCAACUUUAGUAAGGCUAGUGAUACUAUAAUACUAGAGUAUCAGAGAGGAUUGCAGAAUUCCUGGUGUAGCGGUGAAAUGCGUAGAUAUCAGGAGGAAUACCGUUAGCGAA
This 723-nucleotide ribosomal RNA is filed under the name uncultured bacterium. RNAcentral's name for it is "bacterial SSU rRNA". It matches the Rfam family "Bacterial small subunit ribosomal RNA", at positions 9 to 719 of the family's 1533-position model. The record is from RNAcentral.